AGUGAACGCUGGCGGCAGGCCUAACACAUGCAAGUCGAACGGCAGCACAGUAAGAGCUUGCUCUUACGGGUGGCGAGUGGCGGACGGGUGAGGAAUACAUCGGAAUCUACUUUUUCGUGGGGGAUAACGUAGGGAAACUUACGCUAAUACCGCAUACGACCUACGGGUGAAAGCAGGGGAUCUUCGGACCUUGCGCGAUUGAAUGAGCCGAUGUCGGAUUAGCUAGUUGGCGGGGUAAAGGCCCACCAAGGCGACGAUCCGUAGCUGGUCUGAGAGGAUGAUCAGCCACACUGGAACUGAGACACGGUCCAGACUCCUACGGGAGGCAGCAGUGGGGAAUAUUGGACAAUGGGCGCAAGCCUGAUCCAGCCAUACCGCGUGGGUGAAGAAGGCCUUCGGGUUGUAAAGCCCUUUUGUUGGGAAAGAAAAGCAGCAGGUUAAUACCCCGCUGUUCUGACGGUACCCAAAGAAUAGGCACCGGCUAACUUCGUG
RNAcentral lists this ribosomal RNA (492 nucleotides) under uncultured bacterium. Its description in RNAcentral is "partial 16S ribosomal RNA". It matches the Rfam family "Bacterial small subunit ribosomal RNA", at positions 29 to 507 of the family's 1533-position model. The record is from RNAcentral.